GUCUAUGGCCAUACCACCUUGAACGCACCCGAUCUCAUCUGAUCUCGGGAGCUAAGCAAGGUCAGGCCUGAUUAGUACUUGGAUGGGAGAAAAAGGCACAUAGACA
This 106-nucleotide ribosomal RNA is filed under the name Ovis aries (sheep). The record is from RNAcentral. Lineage: Eukaryota; Metazoa; Chordata; Mammalia; Artiodactyla; Bovidae.